GAAUCGCUAGUAACCGUGAAUCAGCCUCGUCACGGUGAAUACGUUCUCGGGUUUUGUACACACCGCCCGUCACGUCAUGGAAGUGGGCAGUGCCCAAAGAUCUCGCAAGAGGUUUAAGGCAAGGUUCAUGACUGGGACGAAGUC
This 144-nucleotide ribosomal RNA is filed under the name Candidatus Doudnabacteria bacterium RIFCSPHIGHO2_01_FULL_46_24. RNAcentral describes it as "partial 16S ribosomal RNA". It matches the Rfam family "Bacterial small subunit ribosomal RNA", at positions 1329 to 1487 of the family's 1533-position model. The record is from RNAcentral. Lineage: Bacteria; Candidatus Doudnaibacteriota.